GGGAAUCUGCCCUUUGGUUCGGAAUAACAGUUGGAAACGACUGCUAAUACCGGAUGAUGACGAAAGUCCAAAGAUUUAUCGCCAGAGGAUGAGCCCGCGUAGGAUUAGCUAGUUGGUGUGGUAAGAGCGCACCAAGGCGACGAUCCUUAGCUGGUCUGAGAGGAUGAUCAGCCACACUGGGACUGAGACACGGCCCAGACUCCUACGGGAGGCAGCAGUGGGGAAUAUUGGACAAUGGGCGAAAGCCUGAUCCAGCAAUGCCGCGUGAGUGAUGAAGGCCUUAGGGUUGUAAAGCUCUUUUACCCGGGAUGAUAAUGACAGUACCGGGAGAAUAAGCUCCGGCUAACUCCGUGCCAGCAGCCGCGGUAAUACGGAGGGAGCUAGCGUUGUUCGGAAUUACUGGGCGUAAAGCGCACGUAGGCGGCUUUGUAAGUUAGAGGUGAAAGCCUGGAGCUCAACUCCAGAAUUGCCUUUAAGACUGCAUCGCUCGAAUCCAGGAGAGGUGAGUGGAAUUCCGAGU
RNAcentral lists this ribosomal RNA (520 nucleotides) under uncultured bacterium. RNAcentral describes it as "bacterial SSU rRNA". It matches the Rfam family "Bacterial small subunit ribosomal RNA", at positions 120 to 674 of the family's 1533-position model. The record is from RNAcentral.